RNAcentral lists this ribosomal RNA (496 nucleotides) under uncultured bacterium. Its description in RNAcentral is "partial 16S ribosomal RNA". It matches the Rfam family "Bacterial small subunit ribosomal RNA", at positions 28 to 506 of the family's 1533-position model. The record is from RNAcentral.
GAUGAACGCUGGCGGCGUGCCUAAUACAUGCAAGUCGAGCGAACAGACGAGGAGCUUGCUCCUCUGACGUUAGCGGCGGACGGGUGAGUAACACGUGGAUAACCUACCUAUAAGACUGGGAUAACUUCGGGAAACCGGAGCUAAUACCGGAUAAUAUAUUGAACCGCAUGGUUCAAUAGUGAAAGACGGUUUUGCUGUCACUUAUAGAUGGAUCCGCGCCGCAUUAGCUAGUUGGUAAGGUAACGGCUUACCAAGGCAACGAUGCGUAGCCGACCUGAGAGGGUGAUCGGCCACACUGGAACUGAGACACGUUCCAGACUCCUACGGGAGGCAGCAGUAGGGAAUCUUCCGCAAUGGGCGAAAGCCUGACGGAGCAACGCCGCGUGAGUGAUGAAGGUCUUCGGAUCGUAAAACUCUGUUAUUAGGGAAGAACAAAUGUGUAAGUAACGAUGCACGUCUUGACGGUACCUAAUCAGAAAGCCACGGCUAACUACGU